Molecule: ribosomal RNA, 440 nt
Filed under: uncultured bacterium
Lineage: Bacteria
Description: partial 16S ribosomal RNA
Rfam family: Bacterial small subunit ribosomal RNA
Source: RNAcentral
CUACGGGGGGCACCAGUGAGGAAUUUUGCGCAAUGGGCGAAAGCCUGACGCAGCAAUGCCGCGUGGAGGAUGACGGCCUUCGGGUUGUAAACUCCUUUUGUAAGUGAAGAAUUUUGACAGUAACUUACGAAUAAGUCACGGCUAACUACGUGCCAGCAGCCGCGGUAAUACGUAGGUGGCGAACGUUAUCCGGAAUUAUUGGGCGUAAAGGGUCCGCAGGUGGUUUUGCAAGUUAAGUAUUAAAGCCCUCGGCUUAACCGAGGAAUCGUACUUAAAACUGCAUCACUAGAGUGUGCUAGAGGUUAGUGGAAUUCUGGGAGUAGGGGUAAAAUCCGUUGAUACUCAGAGGAACACCAAUUGCGAAGGCUACUAACUGGAGCAUUACUGACACUCAGGGACGAAAGCGUGGGUAGCGAACAGGAUUAGAUACCCUAGUAGUC